UUAAGCGACUAAGCGUACACGGUGGAUGCCCUGGCAGUCAGAGGCGAUGAAGGACGUGCUAAUCUGCGAUAAGCGUCGGUAAGGUGAUAUGAACCGUUAUAACCGGCGAUUUCCGAAUGGGGAAACCCAGUGUGUUUCGACACACUAUCAUUAACUGAAUCCAUAGGUUAAUGAGGCGAACCGGGGGAACUGAAACAUCUAAGUACCCCGAGGAAAAGAAAUCAACCGAGAUUCCCCCAGUAGCGGCGAGCGAACGGGGAGCAGCCCAGAGCCUGAAUCAGUGUGUGUGUUAGUGGAAGCGUCUGGAAAGGCGCGCGAUACAGGGUGACAGCCCCGUACACAAAAAUGCACAUGCUGUGAGCUCGAUGAGUAGGGCGGGACACGUGGUAUCCUGUCUGAAUAUGGGGGGACCAUCCUCCAAGGCUAAAUACUCCUGACUGACCGAUAGUGAACCAGUACCGUGAGGGAAAGGCGAAAAGAACCCCGGCGAGGGGAGUGAAAAAGAACCUGAAACCGUGUACGUACAAGCAGUGGGAGCACGCUUAGGCGUGUGACUGCGUACCUUUUGUAUAAUGGGUCAGCGACUUAUAUUCUGUAGCAAGGUUAACCGAAUAGGGGAGCCGAAGGGAAACCGAGUCUUAACUGGGCGUUAAGUUGCAGGGUAUAGACCCGAAACCCGGUGAUCUAGCCAUGGGCAGGUUGAAGGUUGGGUAACACUAACUGGAGGACCGAACCGACUAAUGUUGAAAAAUUAGCGGAUGACUUGUGGCUGGGGGUGAAAGGCCAAUCAAACCGGGAGAUAGCUGGUUCUCCCCGAAAGCUAUUUAGGUAGCGCCUCGUGAAUUCAUCUCCGGGGGUAGAGCACUGUUUCGGCAAGGGGGUCAUCCCGACUUACCAACCCGAUGCAAACUGCGAAUACCGGAGAAUGUUAUCACGGGAGACACACGGCGGGUGCUAACGUCCGUCGUGAAGAGGGAAACAACCCAGACCGCCAGCUAAGGUCCCAAAGUCAUGGUUAAGUGGGAAACGAUGUGGGAAGGCCCAGACAGCCAGGAUGUUGGCUUAGAAGCAGCCAUCAUUUAAAGAAAGCGUAAUAGCUCACUGGUCGAGUCGGCCUGCGCGGAAGAUGUAACGGGGCUAAACCAUGCACCGAAGCUGCGGCAGCGACGCUGAUGCGUUGUUGGGUAGGGGAGCGUUCUGUAAGCCUGCGAAGGUGUGCUGUGAGGCAUGCUGGAGGUAUCAGAAGUGCGAAUGCUGACAUAAGUAACGAUAAAGCGGGUGAAAAGCCCGCUCGCCGGAAGACCAAGGGUUCCUGUCCAACGUUAAUCGGGGCAGGGUGAGUCGACCCCUAAGGCGAGGCCGAAAGGCGUAGUCGAUGGGAAACAGGUUAAUAUUCCUGUACUUGGUGUUACUGCGAAGGGGGGACGGAGAAGGCUAUGUUGGCCGGGCGACGGUUGUCCCGGUUUAAGCGUGUAGGCUGGUUUUCCAGGCAAAUCCGGAAAAUCAAGGCUGAGGCGUGAUGACGAGGCACUACGGUGCUGAAGCAACAAAUGCCCUGCUUCCAGGAAAAGCCUCUAAGCAUCAGGUAACAUCAAAUCGUACCCCAAACCGACACAGGUGGUCAGGUAGAGAAUACCAAGGCGCUUGAGAGAACUCGGGUGAAGGAACUAGGCAAAAUGGUGCCGUAACUUCGGGAGAAGGCACGCUGAUAUGUAGGUGAGGUCCCUCGCGGAUGGAGCUGAAAUCAGUCGAAGAUACCAGCUGGCUGCAACUGUUUAUUAAAAACACAGCACUGUGCAAACACGAAAGUGGACGUAUACGGUGUGACGCCUGCCCGGUGCCGGAAGGUUAAUUGAUGGGGUCAGCGCAAGCGAAGCUCUUGAUCGAAGCCCCGGUAAACGGCGGCCGUAACUAUAACGGUCCUAAGGUAGCGAAAUUCCUUGUCGGGUAAGUUCCGACCUGCACGAAUGGCGUAAUGAUGGCCAGGCUGUCUCCACCCGAGACUCAGUGAAAUUGAACUCGCUGUGAAGAUGCAGUGUACCCGCGGCAAGACGGAAAGACCCCGUGAACCUUUACUAUAGCUUGACACUGAACAUUGAGCCUUGAUGUGUAGGAUAGGUGGGAGGCUUUGAAGUGUGGACGCCAGUCUGCAUGGAGCCGACCUUGAAAUACCACCCUUUAAUGUUUGAUGUUCUAACGUUGACCCGUAAUCCGGGUUGCGGACAGUGUCUGGUGGGUAGUUUGACUGGGGCGGUCUCCUCCUAAAGAGUAACGGAGGAGCACGAAGGUUGGCUAAUCCUGGUCGGACAUCAGGAGGUUAGUGCAAUGGCAUAAGCCAGCUUGACUGCGAGCGUGACGGCGCGAGCAGGUGCGAAAGCAGGUCAUAGUGAUCCGGUGGUUCUGAAUGGAAGGGCCAUCGCUCAACGGAUAAAAGGUACUCCGGGGAUAACAGGCUGAUACCGCCCAAGAGUUCAUAUCGACGGCGGUGUUUGGCACCUCGAUGUCGGCUCAUCACAUCCUGGGGCUGAAGUAGGUCCCAAGGGUAUGGCUGUUCGCCAUUUAAAGUGGUACGCGAGCUGGGUUUAGAACGUCGUGAGACAGUUCGGUCCCUAUCUGCCGUGGGCGCUGGAGAACUGAGGGGGGCUGCUCCUAGUACGAGAGGACCGGAGUGGACGCAUCACUGGUGUUCGGGUUGUCAUGCCAAUGGCACUGCCCGGUAGCUAAAUGCGGAAGAGAUAAGUGCUGAAAGCAUCUAAGCACGAAACUUGCCCCGAGAUGAGUUCUCCCUGACCCUUUAAGGGUCCUGAAGGAACGUUGAAGACGACGACGUUGAUAGGCCGGGUGUGUAAGCGCAGCGAUGCGUUGAGCUAACCGGUACUAAUGAACCGUGAGGCUUAACCU
Molecule: ribosomal RNA, 2901 nt
Filed under: Escherichia coli
Lineage: Bacteria; Pseudomonadati; Pseudomonadota; Gammaproteobacteria; Enterobacterales; Enterobacteriaceae
Description: 23S ribosomal RNA
Rfam family: Bacterial large subunit ribosomal RNA
Source: RNAcentral